CUGCCUGGCAGGACCAUCAGCAGCAGGUUAGAGAGCAAAUGUUCAUGCAGAUGAGGAGCUUCCUCAGGAAUCUGUGGUCUGUAGAUGCCCUCAAGGGUCAACAUGUGCUUUCUUUGCUAAGAUUUGGGGAUUUCUGACUUCCUGCCAGCUUGGUACGGCAACAAGGUGAUUCUGGCUAGAGUCUCAGUAGGGCUGCCACCUCUCAGCAUGGUGCCAGGAGAGGGAGCCCUGGAGUCAUCAGCUCUGGACAGGCCUGGAGGUGGCCUUUCAAGUCCUCUGACCUGCGCAUCCUGUGUGUUGCAAGUGAAGGAUCUGACACUAGCCUUCAUUUUCACUCAGUCAUCAAGCUUUCUCCAUCUCCACUGGGUAUAGGGUUUGGACACUCAGAAAGAAUUCUAGAAUCCAGUGAUAGAUCCCAGAACCAGAGACAUCUAGAGAAUCCUAGAAAGGAAUUCUAGCAUCCAGCAAUUAGGCUUUUGAAUCCAGGUUCAACAGUAAAACAAUGGGGAGUGGAAUGGAGUUAGGACUACUGAAGACGAUGAUUAUCAUGUGAUGAGCACCUAAGCUGAACUGGACACUGUGCUGAGCACUUUCCAGCCACUAUCUCACUCAAAUGAGUUCAGGACCAGCGUGAGGAGGCUCCUGGCAGUUGCCCACAGGACCAGCGUGAGGAGGCUCCUGGCAGUUGGGCUGUUCCGGGCCGGCGGCAGGAGGGAGCUUGAUGCGUGCCUGGCGUGCGCAGGCCGAUGCCGCCGGCAGAAAAGA
RNAcentral lists this long non-coding RNA (765 nucleotides) under Homo sapiens (human). RNAcentral's name for it is "HSALNT0291958". Lineage: Eukaryota; Metazoa; Chordata; Mammalia; Primates; Hominidae. The record is from RNAcentral.